UGAAUUCCCAGAAACUUUGUAAGUGUAGUC
RNAcentral lists this non-coding RNA (30 nucleotides) under Rattus norvegicus (Norway rat). Lineage: Eukaryota; Metazoa; Chordata; Mammalia; Rodentia; Muridae. The record is from RNAcentral.